GGGUGUCCCUGUGCCAGGCUCUGUCCCGGAACGCUCGGAGGGUUCAGGAUGUUCUGGGCUCUGUCCCCGGGAUUCGCUGCCCGGCCCCGGCCGGGGGGCCCCGAGCCCUCCUACGGGUACAGGGCACGGACACCGACAGGGCGCUGUCACUGUCCCGUGUUCGGUACCGGCGGUCGGAGGAGCUCCCGGAGGAGCUCCCGGGGGUGUUCCCAGGGGUGUCCCCGAAGGAGCUCCCGGGGGUGUUCCCGGGGAGCCACUUCGGGCUCGAGGGGGGCUCCCACCUGGGGCUGUCGCUGCUGCUGCCGCCGCAGACGCUGGAGAGGGUCCUGCUGCUCCUCACCCGCUGCCAAAGCCCAUCCCAGCCGGAAUGAUCCCAAGGGACAGGAGCCCCCGGGCUGGGGAGGGAUUGGGGGGAUCCAGGGAGGGAUUGGGGGGAGCCAGGGAUGGAUU
This is a long non-coding RNA of Pseudopipra pipra, 450 nucleotides long. RefSeq lists it as uncharacterized. The transcript is spliced from 3 exons. NCBI's taxonomy places the organism in Eukaryota, Metazoa, Chordata, Aves, Passeriformes, Pipridae. The record is from RefSeq and is a predicted model, not a curated record.